CCGGCACCCCGAGUGGUCGGGACGAUUAUUGGGCCUAAAGCAUCCGUAGCCGGUUUUACGAGUCCUCCGUUAAAUCCAACUGCUUAACAGAUGGGCCGCGGAGGAUACUAUAAGACUAGGAGGCAGGAGAGGCAAGCGGUACUCAGUGGGUAGGGGUAAAAUCCGUUGAUCCAUUGAAGACCACCAGUGGCGAAGGCGGCUUGCCAGAAUGCGCUCGACGGUGAGGGAUGAAAGCUGGGGGAGCAAACCGGAUUAGAUACCCGGGUAGUCCCAGCUGUAAACGAUGCAGACUCGGUGAUGGACUAGCUUCAUGCUAGUCCAGUGCCGCAGGGAAGCCGUUAAGUCUGCCGCCUGGGUAGUACGGUCGCAAGACUG
Molecule: ribosomal RNA, 375 nt
Filed under: uncultured organism
Description: bacterial SSU rRNA
Rfam family: Archaeal small subunit ribosomal RNA
Source: RNAcentral